GGGCUUACGGAAGUGUAAGGAUCUAGCGAGCCCAACCUCCCACCCGUGUUUACUGUACCUUAGUUGCUUCGGCGGGCCCGCCAUUCAUGGCCGCCGGGGGCUCUCAGCCCCGGGCCCGCGCCCGCCGGAGACACCACGAACUCUGUCUGAUCUAGUGAAGUCUGAGUUGAUUGUAUCGCAAUCAGUUAAAACUUUCAACAAUGGAUCUCUUGGUUCCGGCAUCGAUGAAGAACGCAGCGAAAUGCGAUAACUAGUGUGAAUUGCAGAAUUCCGUGAAUCAUCGAGUCUUUGAACGCACAUUGCGCCCCCUGGUAUUCCGGGGGGCAUGCCUGUCCGAGCGUCAUUGCUGCCCAUCAAGCACGGCUUGUGUGUUGGGUCGUCGUCCCCUCUCCGGGGGGGACGGGCCCCAAAGGCAGCGGCGGCACCGCGUCCGAUCCUCGAGCGUAUGGGGCUUUGUCACCCGCUCUGUAGGCCCGGCCGGCGCUUGCCGAACGCAAAUCAAUCUUUUUCCAGGUUGACCUCGGAUCAGGUAGGGAUACCCGCUGAACUUAAGCAUAUCAAAAUCGGGAAGGGAAA
This 576-nucleotide ribosomal RNA is filed under the name Aspergillus flavus. RNAcentral describes it as "eukaryotic LSU rRNA". The stretch from base 190 to 343 matches the Rfam family "5.8S ribosomal RNA". Lineage: Eukaryota; Fungi; Ascomycota; Eurotiomycetes; Eurotiales; Aspergillaceae. The record is from RNAcentral.